Molecule: small RNA, 465 nt
Filed under: Arabidopsis thaliana (thale cress)
Lineage: Eukaryota; Viridiplantae; Streptophyta; Magnoliopsida; Brassicales; Brassicaceae
Description: ATSL065960
Source: RNAcentral
AAAUUUUCGAAUGAAAUAUUUGACAUUUAACAAUCUUCUCUAAAUCUCUCCACGUUAGUUACUAAAAUAAAACUUCCAAAAUAUUUAAUUACUUCAAAAUUAGCAUUUUUGAUAUUGCUUUUCUCUAUGACUAUAACAAUUCGAUUAUAAUCAUCAAACCACAGAGAUUUUUGAUAGCAUUUAAUUACUACAGAAUUACAAAAUAUUUAGACAAUAAUUCAUAAACAUAUCAUAAAUAAGAUCAACAUUAAUAAAAUAAAUGUUUUUUCACGGGACGGGUUGUCGGGACGGGUUUGGUAGGACGUUACUUAAUAACAAUUGUAAACUAUAAAAUAAAAAUAUUUUAUAAAUAAAUACAAUUUGCAAACUUUUAUGUAUACUAACUUAAAAAAUAAAUUAUUCCUGCAGUGUACCGCGGGUUAAAAUCUAGUUUGCUAUACAAAAUCAGAAUUUCAAUUAUACUAU